Molecule: ribosomal RNA, 1113 nt
Filed under: Escherichia sp.
Lineage: Bacteria; Pseudomonadati; Pseudomonadota; Gammaproteobacteria; Enterobacterales; Enterobacteriaceae
Description: bacterial SSU rRNA
Rfam family: Bacterial small subunit ribosomal RNA
Source: RNAcentral
CGGCGUCGGCUACACAUGCAGUCGUACAAGGUAACCGUAACUUGCUGCUUUGCUGACGAGUGGCGGACGGGUGAGUAAUGUCUGGGAAACUGCCUGAUGGAGGGGGAUAACUACUGGAAACGGUAGCUAAUACCGCAUAACGUCGCAAGACCAAAGAGGGGGACCUUCGGGCCUCUUGCCAUCAGAUGUGCCCAGAUGGGAUUAGCUUGUAGGUGGGGUAACGGCUCACCUAGGCGACGAUCCCUAGCUGGUCUGAGAGGAUGACCAGCCACACUGGAACUGAGACACGGUCCAGACUCCUACGGGAGGCAGCAGUGGGGAAUAUUGCACAAUGGGCGCAAGCCUGAUGCAGCCAUGCCGCGUGUAUGAAGAAGGCCUUCGGGUUGUAAAGUACUUUCAGCGGGGAGGAAGGGAGUAAAGUUAAUACCUUUGCUCAUUGACGUUACCCGCAGAAGAAGCACCGGCUAACUCCGUGCCAGCAGCCGCGGUAAUACGGAGGGUGCAAGCGUUAAUCGGAAUUACUGGGCGUAAAGCGCACGCAGGCGGUUUGUAAGUCAGAUGUGAAAUCCCCGGGCUCAACCUGGGAACUGCAUCUGAUACUGGCAAGCUUGAGUCUUGUAGAGGGGGGUAAAUUCCAGGUGUAGCGGUGAAAUGCGUAGAGAUCUGGAGGAAUACCGGUGGCGAAGGCGGCCCCCUGGACAAGACUGACGCUCAGGUGCGAAAGCGUGGGAGCAAACAGGAUUAGAUACCCUGGUAGUCCACGCCGUAAACGAUGUCGACUUGGAGGUUGUGCCCUUGAGGCGUGGCUUCCGGAGCUAACGCGUUAAGUCGACCGCCUGGGGAGUACGGCGCAAGGUUAAAACUCAUAUGAAUUGACGGGGGCCCGCACAAGCGGUGGAGAUGUGGCUUUAAUUCGAUGCACGCGAAGAACUUACCUUCUUGACUCCCCAGAACUUUUCAGAGUGGAUGUGUCUUCGGGUACGUGAGCAGGUCUGCAUGACUGUGUCGCUCGUGCUCGGCAAAGGUGAGUAGUCCGCAAGCGAGUGCUAACUAUCCUUAUGGUGCGUGGUCGUCGAAUCGAGGAACUGCAGUUAACUGCAGAAGGUGGAGCAC